AAAGUCGUAACAAGGUUUCCGUAGGUGAACCUGCGGAAGGAUCAUUAUCACGUAUCCACGUAUAAACCAUUGUGAACCGUUUUUAACCUCUGCAAAACCGGCUCGAGCAUAAACCGUAAAAAAGUUUAUGUGAAAAGUCGGCUAGUAACAGAGCGUAUUUACCUAUUAACCAUUUUAACCAAUCUUUAUAACUUUAUGAACUAACUUUAUUUUAUACUCUUCGGAGAUAAAAUUCAUUACGAAACAAAGAACAACUCUUAGCAACGGAUAUCUUGGUUCUC
Molecule: unclassified non-coding RNA, 281 nt
Filed under: Cercozoa sp.
Lineage: Eukaryota; Cercozoa
Description: partial contains small subunit ribosomal RNA, internal transcribed spacer 1, and 5.8S ribosomal RNA
Rfam family: Eukaryotic small subunit ribosomal RNA (bases 1-47)
Source: RNAcentral